This 39-nucleotide transfer RNA is filed under the name Molinadendron guatemalense. RNAcentral describes it as "partial tRNA-Phe". Lineage: Eukaryota; Viridiplantae; Streptophyta; Magnoliopsida; Saxifragales; Hamamelidaceae. The record is from RNAcentral.
CGGGAUAGCUCAGCUGGUAGAGCAGAGGACUGAAAUUCC